UCCCUAGUGGCUCAGGUGGUAAAGCAUCUACCUCCAAUGUGGGUGACCCAGGUUCAAUCCCUGGGUUGGGAA
Molecule: transfer RNA, 72 nt
Filed under: Bos taurus (domestic cattle)
Lineage: Eukaryota; Metazoa; Chordata; Mammalia; Artiodactyla; Bovidae
Also listed under: 4 other names
Rfam family: tRNA
About the family: Transfer RNA (tRNA) molecules are approximately 80 nucleotides in length. Their secondary structure includes four short double-helical elements and three loops (D, anti-codon, and T loops).
Source: Rfam by way of RNAcentral